GAUGAAGAACGCAGCGAAAUGCGAUACGUAAUGUGAAUUGCAGAAUUCAGUGAAUCAUCGAAUCUUUGAACGCAUAUUGCGCUCUCUGGUAUUCCGGAGAGCAUGCUUGUUUGAGUAUCAGUAAACACCUCAACUUCCAUAUCUUUUUUGAAAUGGGAGUUGGACUUGAGUGAUCCCAACGCUUUUCCUCACCGAAAAGUGGCGGGUUACUUGAAAUGCGGGUGCAGCUGGACUUUUCUCUGAGCUAUAAGCAUAUCUAUUUAGUCUGCCUAAAAAACAGAUUAUUACCUUUGCUGCAGCUAACAUAAAGGAGAUUAGUUCUUGUGCUGACUGAUGCAGGAUUCACAAAGACGGCUUCGGCCGACUUUGUAAACUCGAUCUCAAAUCAAGUAAGACUACCCGCUGAACUUAAGCAUAUCAAUAAGCGGAGGA
This 432-nucleotide unclassified non-coding RNA is filed under the name soil metagenome. RNAcentral describes it as "partial contains 5.8S ribosomal RNA, internal transcribed spacer 2, and large subunit ribosomal RNA". The stretch from base 1 to 120 matches the Rfam family "5.8S ribosomal RNA", at positions 35 to 154 of the family's 154-position model. The record is from RNAcentral.